UUAUUCUUCGUUCGAAUUUAGUCAAAUACAGUCUGUGAUACAAAACGAGUAUUAUGGCGAGCUAUGUAUGGUCAUAUUAUACAAAACUCCACACAGGUGCAGGUAUAGGUGCGAAAUGCAAUUUUUGUGGGAAAUAUUAUUCUCCUACGCCAAACUAUUUCAAUAUAUUCAGAAGACAUACAGGCCCAAUGAGAUCACAUUUAAGUAUUGAACAUGGAAUUGAUAGAAAUAAAGCGAGAGAACAUGAAAACUGGUUAUUAGACUUUAGUAAUAUAAAUAAUAUUAGACUAAAUUGGAAUGAUACAAUAACGUGUCGACGUUGCAAUAAAGUUUUUCCAAGGAAUUUUGUCUAUUUAAUGCGCCAUUUGUACAUUGAUCAUCAAAUCGAGGAGGUACCUGAGGAAUUUAAAUAAAUGGGGCAAAGUGUUAUAGACAUUCCUAAAAGCAGCUACAAACAACUAAUACGCAAUUUUUAUCAAUUUGGCAAUAUAAAUGACUGUAUAUCACUAUAUCUUGGAGAUUCUGUGUUAAACAGCUCUCAGUCAACGGAUUUUGAUAACAUUGCUGAAUAUGAUGGCCCUUCCGAUCUUGAAGAUAUAUGUAAAGAUAUUGAAUUAUUGAUCAGUUCUCAGUCAACGGAUUUUGAUAAAAAAUUGCU
Molecule: long non-coding RNA, 658 nt
Organism: Camponotus floridanus (Florida carpenter ant)
Lineage: Eukaryota; Metazoa; Arthropoda; Insecta; Hymenoptera; Formicidae
Exons: 3
Source: RefSeq, a predicted model, not a curated record